AUUGAACGCUGGCGGCAGGCCUAACACAUGCAAGUCGAGCGGAUGAAGGGAGCUUGCUCCUGGAUUCAGCGGCGGACGGGUGAGUAAUGCCUAGGAAUCUGCCUUGUCGUGGGGGAUAACGUCCGGAAACGGGCGCUAAUACCGCAUACGUCCUGAGGGAGAAAGUGGGGGAUCUUCGGACCUCACGCUAUUAGAUGAGCCUAGGUCGGAUUAGCUAGUUGGGGGGUAGGCCUACCAAGGCGACGAUCCGUAACUGGUCUGAGAGGAUGAUCAGUCACACUGGAACUGAGACACGGUCCAGACUCCUACGGGAGGCAGCAGUGGGGAAUAUUGGACAAUGGGCGAAAGCCUGAUCCAGCCAUGCCGCGUGUGUGAAGAAGGUCUUCGGAUUGUAAAGCACUUUAAGUUGGGAAGAAGAGCAGUAAGUUAAUACCUUGCUGUUUUGACGUUACCAACAGAAUAAGCACCGGCUAACUUCGUG
Molecule: ribosomal RNA, 481 nt
Filed under: uncultured bacterium
Lineage: Bacteria
Description: partial 16S ribosomal RNA
Rfam family: Bacterial small subunit ribosomal RNA
Source: RNAcentral